AGAGCAGAAAAAAGGACAGAAUAGCAUUGUUUGAUUUGAGUAAUUAGGGGCGGAAGUAGUGGGAGUCAACUAUGAGAGAGAGUGUGUUUGUAUGAAUCACGAGAUGCCUGCUUUCUUCCUUAUUAUCUGAGACACCCUUCUUCACCCCUUUUGCAUUAAAAAGAUCGUAAUAACAACAACAAGGUCUCAGGUAACAUUCAAUGACAAAAAACUAAAGUUUGUUCCAGUGUUACCUAGAGAGACGAAGAACAACCAAAUAAAAUAAAUGAAUCAAUCAACUCAUGUCUGAUAGUCAAACCGGAGAGGGUCCCGAUCUUUGCUGUCCAGUCUUGUCUGACGGUCAAGCUUUGACUUCUUCAUUAAAAUCCAACGGUGGGAGUGGACCCUCACCAUGUUUUUAUUAUGGUCGAUGAUGGCUGAUUGAUGAUGAUGCCUUUGCCCAUUUUAAGAUAUUACCUCUCCACUCUCUUCUGUUUUGCUUUGUCGUUUCACAUGCACAAACUACAAUUUGCAAUUGUUCACCACCCCUUUUCAUAUUGCAUUUCUGCAAUUAUGAGUCGGCAAUAUUAUAAGCCCAUAUCUUCAACUAACACAUAAACAAAAUAUCUUUUCUAAAUUAUUUUCAUUACCUUCCAUAACUGACAUAUCUUCUGAUUGUUGGAGGGGUCUCACCACCUCUACCUUGACUGCAGUUCAUCAUAAUGUCCUUUUGAGUAUUAUUCUGGGGUUGGACUUGGACUACCAAAUUUCUAUGGCAAUUAUGACUUCACCAACUUCACCUCUCCUUCGUUUAUUUUGCAAAUCUAUUUUCUUCAACCAUCAUAAAGUGCAUGCAACUCCUACCACCAAUAUGAUGAGCUCCAAACUACCAAAAAUGAUCGUCCGCAUGAGUACAAAUUUUAACUCCAUCUCUUGAUUGGAU
This 922-nucleotide long non-coding RNA is filed under the name Gossypium barbadense (sea-island cotton). Its description in RNAcentral is "long non-coding RNA (GBAR_LNC019740)". Lineage: Eukaryota; Viridiplantae; Streptophyta; Magnoliopsida; Malvales; Malvaceae. The record is from RNAcentral.